GUAAACGAGCGACGCCGCGUGCGGGAUGAAGGGCUUCGGCUUGUAAACCGCUUUUGUUUGGGAAGAAUGCCCGGAUCGUGAAUCCGGGAGGGACGGUACCAGACGAAUAAGCCCCGGCUAACUCCGCGCCAGCAGCCGCGGUAAUACGUAUGGUGCGAACGUUGUUCGGAAUCACUGGGCAUAAAGAGCACGUAGGCGGUGGAGCAAGUCCAUUGUGAAAUCCCCCGGCUUAACCGGGGAACUGCAGUGGAUACUACUCCGCUCGAGUACAGGAGGGGAGAGUGGAAUUCCUGAUGGAGCGGUGAAAUGCGUAGAUAUCAGGAGGAACGCCGGCGGCGAAAGCGACUCUCUGGCCUGUUUCUGACGCUGAGGUGCGAAAGCUAGGGGAGCAAACGGGAUUAGAUACCCCGGUAGUCCUAGCCCUAAACGAU
RNAcentral lists this ribosomal RNA (431 nucleotides) under uncultured soil bacterium. Its description in RNAcentral is "bacterial SSU rRNA". It matches the Rfam family "Bacterial small subunit ribosomal RNA", at positions 383 to 810 of the family's 1533-position model. The record is from RNAcentral.